This 1043-nucleotide long non-coding RNA is filed under the name Parus major (Great Tit). RNAcentral's name for it is "lncRNA (ENSPMJG00000005876.1)". The record is from RNAcentral. Lineage: Eukaryota; Metazoa; Chordata; Aves; Passeriformes; Paridae.
AAAAAUAAAAAUAUCCCAGUAGUGUAGGUAAUAAAGCUGGGGAAACAAACUCGGAAGUGCAUUUUACAAUGGAAUUUGAUUGUGAUAAUUUUUCAUGUGUUAAAAAAGGAGCACGCUGGCUUUCUCUGGGAACUGUUUGGGUUUAUGCUUUGUUGGGAUUUUGGUUUUUUCCAUCCCCAGCUUGUAGUCAUGUGGAAGAUUUAUUUCAUUAUUUAUUUUAAUUUUUUUUCCACAGAGAAGCAUCUCUGCAUUUAUUAGCUGAGUUCAUUGAAAAGCUGUAUUUUGUAAUUUAAUGAGGCUGGAAGUUGCACAGGUAACAGCUGAAACAAAAACUCCUGGCAGUGUGAAUUCCCAUUUUGGAAGUGCACCUCCCUGCAAGCCUGCUGUAAACAUCUACAAAAAAAUACUGCAGAACGUUAUAAAAGAGAAGAUUACCAAGUUGGAGGGUCAGAUGGGUAGAAAAUUACGAGCUGCUCGUCCGUGUGCUCAGCCUUCGCCUGCGAUUGCAUCUGCUGCAGGUGAGGCCAAUAAUUGUGGGAGCCCUGUAAUAGCUGCCAGGGAGGGAAUUAGUUCUGAUGGAUGGUAAAUACUUUGCCAGUCAUUUUGACAUUAUUUUCAAAAUUCUGGGUCAAUUAAUACUUCUUGAAUGGAUCAGAAAAAAGAGGCACAAAGCUGGAGUUGUUUAUUUUGUGUAUGUCUCUGUAUAUAUUGUAGGAUAUGGAGAGCUGGGUUUUGUUCAUUUUCUUUAGCAAGGAAAUGAGCUGGGUUCUGUGUCCCCAGUCCAGAGAAGGGCUGGAGCUGCUGCUGGGGCCUGGCUGUGCCUGUGGCUCUCCUCCUGCUCCUCAGGGCUGAAUUCCAGCGGUGCCCAGAGCCAGCAGAGCCCUGUGCUCAGCCACAGCCUGGAGCAGCUGUGGGCAGGAUGCUCCUGGAGCCCUCUGAGCCACUCCAGGAGAGGGAGAGCAGCAGCUCUGGCUCUGUUCUCACACCCUCCAAGCCCACAGCCGAGGGGGUCUGGCUCCUCUGCUGGCUCUUUUCCCACGUUU